This 259-nucleotide ribosomal RNA is filed under the name uncultured prokaryote. RNAcentral describes it as "partial 16S ribosomal RNA". It matches the Rfam family "Bacterial small subunit ribosomal RNA", at positions 524 to 782 of the family's 1533-position model. The record is from RNAcentral.
UACGUAGGUGGCAAGCGUUGUCCGGAAUUAUUGGGCGUAAAGCGCGCGCAGGCGGUCUCUUAAGUCUGAUGUGAAAUCUCGUGGCUCAACCACGAACGGUCAUUGGAAACUGGGGGACUUGAGUGCAGAAGAGAAGAGCGGAAUUCCACGUGUAGCGGUGAAAUGCGUAGAGAUGUGGAGGAACACCAGUGGCGAAGGCGGCUCUUUGGUCUGUAACUGACGCUGAGGCGCGAAAGCGUGGGGAGCGAACAGGAUUAGA